RNAcentral lists this long non-coding RNA (233 nucleotides) under Lathyrus oleraceus (garden pea). RNAcentral's name for it is "Pisum sativum (pea) long non-coding RNA (PSAT_LNC021897)". The record is from RNAcentral. Lineage: Eukaryota; Viridiplantae; Streptophyta; Magnoliopsida; Fabales; Fabaceae.
CGAAAGACAAGACUUUCUUGAGCACAAGGUCACCUUCUCGGAACACAUGAGGCUUGACCUUCUUAUCGAAUGCUUUCUUCAUUCUUUGUUGAUAUAACUAACCAUGGCACAUGGCAGUCAAUCUCUUUUCUUCAAUCAGAUUCAGUUGGUCGUAACGACUAUGAAUCCACUCAGCAUCAGUCAACUUGGGGUUUGAGGGUGCUAUUUUUCUUUGAUUUUUUUUUACAUUCUUU